GCAUUGUUGAGGAGUGCCACAAUAGGACGAAACGGCCGUCCAGUGC
Non-coding RNA from Schistosoma mansoni, 46 nucleotides. The record is from Rfam. Lineage: Eukaryota; Metazoa; Platyhelminthes; Trematoda; Strigeidida; Schistosomatidae.